This 119-nucleotide ribosomal RNA is filed under the name Xenopus laevis (African clawed frog). The record is from RNAcentral. Lineage: Eukaryota; Metazoa; Chordata; Amphibia; Anura; Pipidae.
GCCUACGGCCAUACCACCCUGAAAGUGCCUGAUCUUGUCUGAUCUCAGAAGCCAUACAGGGUCAGGCCUGGUUAGUACCUGGAUGGGAGACCGCCUGGGAAUACCAUGUGUCAUAGGCU